This 173-nucleotide ribosomal RNA is filed under the name uncultured bacterium. RNAcentral describes it as "partial 16S ribosomal RNA". It matches the Rfam family "Bacterial small subunit ribosomal RNA", at positions 338 to 525 of the family's 1533-position model. The record is from RNAcentral.
UCUACGGGAGGCAGCAGUGGGGGAUAUUGCACAAUGGGCGAAAGCCUGAUGCAGCAACGCCGCGUGAAGGAAGAAGGUUUUCGGAUUGUAAACUUCUUUGAUGAGGGACGAAAGAAAUGACGGUACCUCAGGAACAAGCCACGGCUAACUACGUGCCAGCAGCCGCGGUAAUA